GGCAGUCUUCCAAACAGAAGAAGGCCAUUCAAACUGCUAUCCGCAAAAAUAAAGAGGCAAAUGCAGUGCUGGCCCGGCUGAACAGUGAACUCCAACAGCAGCUCAAGGAGGUUCAUCAAGAACGGAUUGCAUUGGAAAACCAAUUGGAACAACUUCGUCCAGUCACUGUAUUGUGACCCUCAAGGUCAAGUGACAGUGGGUGACCUUGUCUGCCAAGAUCUUUCUUUAGAAUGUUUGAGCCCAACUGCUUAUUGUAGAUGUCCGACUGUGUCAAAAUCUGUGAGCAGCAGAGUAUAAUCCAUAUGACCUUUUCUCUUACCCUUCACUUGUACAUUUUACUCUGGUGGAAAAAAUACUUCAGUUGAUUAUCACACUUGAAAGCGUAACUAUCAGUGGAAUUUAUCUCCCAUUCUUAAGUACUUCCUCAAGGUGUUAGAUGCUGUUCUGUACCAAAAAUCAAUCUUCUAGCAAAUAAAAAUAAUUUAGAGCAUUAUUUAUUUGAAGAAUUUAUGAUUUGUAUAAAACCUUAUAACCAAGUA
Molecule: long non-coding RNA, 539 nt
Organism: Galeopterus variegatus (Sunda flying lemur)
Lineage: Eukaryota; Metazoa; Chordata; Mammalia; Dermoptera; Cynocephalidae
Exons: 2
Source: RefSeq, a predicted model, not a curated record